GCGAACGGGUGAGUAACGCGUAAGAACCUGCCCUUGGGAGGGGAACAACAACUGGAAACGGUUGCUAAAACCCCGUAGGCUGAGGAGCAAAAGGAGAAAUCCGCCCAAGGAGGGGCUCGCGUCUGAUUAGCUAGUUGGUGAGGCAAUAGCUUACCAAGGCGAUGAUCAGUAGCUGGUCCGAGAGGAUGAUCAGCCACACUGGGACUGAGACACGGCCCAGACUCCUACGGGAGGCAGCAGUGGGGAAUUUUCCGCAAUGGGCGAAAGCCUGACGGAGCAAUGCCGCGUGKAGGUGGAAGGCCUACGGGUCGUCAACUUCUUUUCUCGGAGAAGAAACAAUGACGGUAUCUGAGGAAUAAGCAUCGGCUAACUCUGUGCCAGCAGCCGCGGUAAU
Molecule: ribosomal RNA, 394 nt
Filed under: uncultured eukaryote
Lineage: Eukaryota
Description: bacterial SSU rRNA
Rfam family: Bacterial small subunit ribosomal RNA
Source: RNAcentral